UACAGAGGGUGCGAGCGUUAAUCGGAAUUACUGGGCGUAAAGCGCGCGUAGGCGGCUUUUCAAGUCGAUUGUGAAAUCCCCGGGCUUAACCUGGGAACUGCAGUCGAGACUGUCUAGCUAGAGUAUGGGAGAGGGAAGUUGAAUUUCAGGUGUAGCGGUGAAAUGCGUAGAUAUCUGAAGGAACAUCAGUGGCGAAAGCGACUUCCUGGACCAAUACUGACGCUCAUGUGCGAAAGCGUGGGGAGCAAACAGG
Molecule: ribosomal RNA, 253 nt
Filed under: uncultured bacterium
Lineage: Bacteria
Description: partial 16S ribosomal RNA
Rfam family: Bacterial small subunit ribosomal RNA
Source: RNAcentral